Long non-coding RNA from Mustela erminea (ermine), 312 nucleotides. RefSeq lists it as uncharacterized. The record is from RefSeq and is a predicted model, not a curated record. NCBI's taxonomy places the organism in Eukaryota, Metazoa, Chordata, Mammalia, Carnivora, Mustelidae. The transcript is spliced from 3 exons.
GGACGUGAGGGAGGAGGGGGGCGCUACCAGAGCGUGAGGCACCCCUGAGGCAGGUGGGAGUCAGGAGGACGGGACGGGAAUCUUGGGACAAGCAAGAUUCCCUCUCUGUUAGGGAUUGAGGCAGCUGUCUUAGUCCUCUCCCACAAACGUUAUGUUGCCAGGCCCUGGAGAGCAAAUUACCUUUGAGGUCUUCACGUCACCAAAGACUGUCAUGCAGUGCGGAAAAGCAAGAAUCGAUGGGGAUACGUAAAAGUGACAUAAGCCAGCUCCUGAUUCUUGAUGCAGUUGAGAGAGAAAGAGAAGCAGAGGGAG